Molecule: ribosomal RNA, 393 nt
Filed under: uncultured bacterium
Lineage: Bacteria
Description: partial 16S ribosomal RNA
Rfam family: Bacterial small subunit ribosomal RNA
Source: RNAcentral
AUACGGAGGAUGCGAGCGUUAUCCGGAUUUAUUGGGUUUAAAGGGUGCGUAGGCGGUCGGGUAAGCGUAGGGUGAAAGUCCUCUGCUCAACAGAGGAAGUGCCUUCCGAACUGUCCGACUGGAAUGCUCCUGCCGUGGGAGGAAUGUGUGGUGUAGCGGUGAAAUGCAUAGAGAUCACACAGAACACCGAUUGCGAAGGCAUCUCACGAAGGGGCUAUUGACGCUGAGGCACGAAAGCGUGGGGAUCAAACAGGAUUAGAUACCCUGGUAGUCCACGCAGUAAACGAUGAUGACUAACCGUCGGUCAAGACUGAUCGGUGGCCAAGCGAAAGCGAUAAGUCAUCCACCUGGGGAGUACGACCGCAAGGUUGAAACUUAAAGGAAUUGACGGGG